This 497-nucleotide ribosomal RNA is filed under the name uncultured bacterium. Its description in RNAcentral is "partial 16S ribosomal RNA". It matches the Rfam family "Bacterial small subunit ribosomal RNA", at positions 28 to 507 of the family's 1533-position model. The record is from RNAcentral.
GACGAACGCUGGCGGCGUGCCUAAUACAUGCAAGUUGAGCGAUGAAGCUUGGUGCUUGCACCAAUUUGAAGAGCAGCGAACGGGUGAGUAACGCGUGGGGAAUCUGCCUUUGAGCGGGGGACAACAUUUGGAAACGAAUGCUAAUACCGCAUAACAACUUUAAACAUAAGUUUUAAGUUUGAAAGAUGCAAUUGCAUCACUCAAAGAUGAUCCCGCGUUGUAUUAGCUAGUUGGUGAGGUAAAGGCUCACCAAGGCGAUGAUACAUAGCCGACCUGAGAGGGUGAUCGGCCACAUUGGGACUGAGACACGGCCCAAACUCCUACGGGAGGCAGCAGUAGGGAAUCUUCGGCAAUAGACGAAAGUCUGACCGAGCAACGCCGCGUGAGUGAAGAAGGUUUUCGGAUCGUAAAACUCUGUUGGUAGAGAAGAACGUUGGUGAGAGUGGAAAGCUCAUCGAGUGACGGUAACUACCCAGAAAGGGACGGCUAACUACGUG